CCAUGGUUCUACAUACAUUUCGAAAUUACCUUCAUCAAAUAAUCGCGAGUGACCAGCUGACGAGCUAGCCGCAUAUGAUGCGCCAAUCGUAUGAUGAGUCAAAGGGAAGGAAAGAUACAUAGCGUUAAAUACAGAUUAAACGCGUCGACGCAUGAGGCGAAGAAAACUGCGCAUUUGAGGAUCACGCUGUUAUACCAGUAGUUGAUGAUUUCUUAAGGAAAAGUUAAAGCUAGAAGAGCUGAUCAUCGCAUAUCUAUACAAUAUUACACUCGAAAAAGACGAUCUUCUCUCACGAAAUUCUUUUCUUCUCGCUUAACAAAGAGGACCUUGAGACCUUUCUCGUAGAAUAAAAGAGAAAGAGAGCUGUAACCCUGAGGGAACGUUUGUCUGGCGUUAACACUUGAAGUUGGAUCAUUAUAAAUGUAUGCCAAACGAGAUUAAUCAAAUUGUUGAGCGCGUGACAAAACAAACGAGCGACGCAAACAGAAAGGAAAUUAUAAAUUGUCCCAGGAUGAGUCACGAUUCCGAAAGCCGAUACCGACGCCCAUAGUUUCCGGCUGCUAUUUCAACUGAAGCGGCGAGUGCAUAUCGCAUACAUCGUUCCAUAUCUAUGCUGUAAUUUCAUGCUAGACAUUCAGCAUUAUCGCAUCUUAUGUCUAUCACCUUUGAUUGCACUUUUCGCAUUUAAAAUGAAAUAAACGAUUAUACGAGGGAUGAAAGAAUGAAUCUCGUAAGUCUCGAAUAAAAAUUUAAAAUACAGAGUUUUUUACGGUUUUCUAUAGUUAUGUGUGUUAUCUAUUAAUUUUUUUUUCUUUUUUUAAAGGAAAACAUGAGAGAAAAGUAUAGAAUAAGGACUCGUAGAAAUGAAGCAGCGGCGUAUCUGACGCGUUCGUUUCAACGAAAAUCAUGAUUCACAAUUAAUCGUUAGAUUUACUAGCUUCUUGAAUCGCUCGUCAGAUCUACGGUAUAGACGAUAAGCGAUUCCUUAUCUUCUAACAAGUCAAAACUUCCUCGAGAUAAGGAAAUGUCUUAAUACAGAGAGUCUUAAUAUUGAAGUAAGAGAUGAAAAAUUGAGGUAAAAUGAAUAAGAGUCUUAAUGGCGAUUUAAUGAUAUCCGAAAUAAAUUGAUAAUUUUCCAAAGAGAUUUUUAUUUAAUAUGAUUGAUAUUACGCAUCAGAAAGAAAGAAAAAAUUGUUUUAUAGAUAAUAAAUUAUACGAUUAAGUAAAAAGACAUUUAUAAGAACCGAUUUGCUAUACGGAAACUCGUUAUGAAACGUUUAGAAAGUAUCGCAUCAAUAUGUAAUUAUUGGCACAUCAUGUGAGUUCCACAAUGGAACUCUGGAAAAUGCGUCACUUGGUACACAUUGUCACAUUAAUUAUUCUCAAAAACACCUGUGAACGUCUGCUUUCGCGUCUUGCUUAUGAUCAAGGAGUUUGUUUUCCGCGCGCAAGAACCAAUGGCAUUACCUUGACAGAUAAAAAUAAGAAUUGUAGAUUCUUUCGCACGUCCUUCGUACGAGUAAAAAUUAUAUAUAUUUCCUCUUUCAGAACGGUGUAUAAUCGAGUACUUUGAAGAAUCACGGUAGCCGCGAGGACAAGUUCCGCUGUUUCCCCGUUAGUGACAGGUCAAAAACCUACCUUGUCGUUGUCACUGUCGCAGACCAGUUGUGCCUUCUUGCGUUUCUUUCUUUUCUCAAAUUACCACUCCCGUUUGCACGCAGUAAACUCACGUAAAAAAAAAAAUCACAACAUUUUUGUUUCUUUUUUCUUUUGGAGUUUCUUUGAAACUUAUGUGCGGGAUCUGUUUCUCGAUCAUUCAUUUAUAUUCCGUUCACGAUGUGGGUUCACGCUAUUUCUUUUCAUUAGCACGUGACUCAUUACUUGCGUUCUCAUUCAUUGUUAAACAUACGUUGUCUGCAAUUUCUCCCUUCGUAUUUAGCAACGUAAAAUCUUACGCGUCUACACGAAUGAAUCAUAGAAGGUACGAUAAAAUUAACAAUCCACUUUUCAUAAAAUUGUAAAAAUAAAUGUCGAUUCUAUACCUUGAAGUCUAAAAACAUUAGAUAAUUAAUUGUUUGGAUUGUUUUUUUAACACGAUGGAAAUUUUCAGGAUAUAGACGAGUGGUUUACGAGAAAUAAGAGCCUAGUACGUGCUGGCCGCGAGAGAAUUAAUGAGUUAAAGAGACACUUGGCGCGCGCGGCAACGAGCGGAGAAAGACGCGCGCGCGAGCUCCAUCGUAGAAUACACACACACACGCACAUUGACGGGCGCACAUGCACACAAAGGCACAAUGAGCGAAUGCGACCGUAGGUUUCACAGUUUGCGACCGUAGGCCUUCUCCUUUCUCCUCCUCCUCGUGGAGCUGCGCAUUUCAGAAUACAUUUUUGGGAUAUUCAAGCUAGAUUGCCGGCUCCAAAAAUUUUCUAAAUUUCAUGUAAAACGACCGACGUUCACGUACGUAAAGAUAAAAACAAUGUGAGAAACGAUAAGAUAAAAUGGGGCCGAGCGACGACGACGCGUCGCGUCGUCUUCAAACCUGGCAGCGCAGCUCGUGCCUUUGCACUGACGCGGCUCCGCUCUCCGUCGCCCACACAGCCAUCGCUGUUGCUCCACUCGGUGGUGGAAAGAGAUCGGGGAAGGGGAGCAGGCCAACGCCAUCACUGGCAUCAAUUGCAGCGGCCGCGGAUAUUUACAAAGAGAAAUUGCGUAUGCCACGUGAGAUAUGGACAGUUCAAUAAAAUGGACAAGGAGAGAUAUUGUUCUACGAAGAAUAUUUUAAUGAAACCUUUAUUAAGACUUUUAUCGUGCCAAAGACAAAUGACGACUUUGGCCAUACAAACAGGUAAACGUUUUCCCGGCGAGAGUCUCUCUAUGCAGAUGCAAGUUAUACAAUAUAUCGUUUUAUAAGAUUUUAGAUUAAUAGUAAAAAAUAGAAAUGCACAAACAGGUUUUGAUAUCAGAUUUGAUAAACAGAGUAUAAUGCAAAGAAACAAGAUAUAAAUACUUAUUUAGUCUUAAAUUAAAUAAUAUUUUCAUUUAUGUGAAAAUACAAUUUUUAUCUGUUAAUUGGCAGCUUAUUUUGCACCGCGAUGUUGUACAAAUCACUUCGAAUCACAGGAUUUCAUUCAUUGAUUCUGUUAAAUUAACUGCCAUUUUAUGACAUUUAAUAUCUGAACAAAGCAUCAUCGAUUGCACCUGCACCAUCGAGGAACUUGCGCGGGUAUCUCUACUAUCUUAAAUCACAAUGGUGACGACAAGUUUAACUAUAUUUAUUCGUUAAUUAGUUUCUUAAGAUUGAUCGUUACGUAUAAACAGGUACGCACGCACGCACGCACGCACGCAUGUUUUAGCAGCCGUAUACAUAA
This 3366-nucleotide long non-coding RNA is filed under the name Pogonomyrmex barbatus (red harvester ant). RNAcentral describes it as "uncharacterized LOC105426495, transcript variant X2". Lineage: Eukaryota; Metazoa; Arthropoda; Insecta; Hymenoptera; Formicidae. The record is from RNAcentral.